GACGAACGCUGGCGGCGUGCUUAACACAUGCAAGUCGAACGGUGAAGCUCCAGCUUGCUGGAGUGGAUCAGUGGCGAACGGGUGAGUAACACGUGAGCAACCUGCCCCUGACUCUGGAAUAAGCGCUGGAAACGGCGUCUAAUACUGGAUACGAGAAGGGCCCGCAUGGGCACUUUCUGGAAAGUUUUUCGGUUGGGGAUUGGCUCGCGGCCUAUCAGCUUGUUGGUGAGGUAAUGGCUCACCAAGGCGACGACGGGUAGCCGGCCUGAGAGGGCGACCGGCCACACUGGGACUGAGACACGGCCCAGACUCCUACGGGAGGCAGCAGUGGGGAAUAUUGCACAAUGGGCGAAAGCCUGAUGCAGCGACGCCGCGUGAGGGAUGACGGCCUUCGGGUUGUAAACCUCUUUCAGCAGGGAAGAAGCGAAAGUGACGGUACCUGCAGAAGAAGCACCGGCUAACUACGUG
This 468-nucleotide ribosomal RNA is filed under the name uncultured bacterium. RNAcentral's name for it is "partial 16S ribosomal RNA". It matches the Rfam family "Bacterial small subunit ribosomal RNA", at positions 28 to 507 of the family's 1533-position model. The record is from RNAcentral.